GACUCAACUCCACUGAAGUGGUUUAUAACUCGAAAGCCGUGACUGUGCUCAAAAAAGCCGGCCUCCAGUACAUCUGUGGCCCCCCUCUAACCCUGGAUCAGGCUCUUGUUCUCUGCUGCCCGCCAGCGCUCCAUGAUGGAUGGGCUUUGUGAAGAUCCUGGUGUAUUCUGAGAUCGAGAACGAGCUGCAGAGACGAUGAAGGGAGGUGAUGGAGGACAAGCUGAAGCGUGGCAGACACCCUCGCCACAAACAAGAGGAGGGAGCCCAAAGGUGCCAUUAAUCAGCUGUUCCCAAAGCAGAAUGGGCUGCCUCAUCUGACCGUCCUGAUAGAUUAUGAUGCAGAUCCUACAGGAAAUGGAACAUCUCUGGGCUUAAAUGAAGAUCGCUUUGACAAAUAUGUGUGUCCUCACGCUACCGUGAGCACAACAAAAGCAGCCCACAGUCACGGCAAACACCACAGUGGCAAUAGCAGGGCAAUGCAUUUCACUUUUUUCAGUGUUAAUCUAGAGAGGAAAUAAAGACUUCACAGGAGAACAUGGGAUUUUGUAUCUCAAUUUUAAAUCCAGGAAAUGUUUAAAUCUAAAUUCAAGUGCAGAAAGAGUAUAUACAACAA
Alosa alosa (allis shad) is the source of this 613-nucleotide long non-coding RNA. RefSeq lists it as uncharacterized. NCBI's taxonomy places the organism in Eukaryota, Metazoa, Chordata, Actinopteri, Clupeiformes, Clupeidae. The transcript has 3 exons. The record is from RefSeq and is a predicted model, not a curated record.